This 1053-nucleotide long non-coding RNA is filed under the name Fragaria vesca (wild strawberry). RNAcentral's name for it is "long non-coding RNA (FVES_LNC004574)". The record is from RNAcentral. Lineage: Eukaryota; Viridiplantae; Streptophyta; Magnoliopsida; Rosales; Rosaceae.
AACAAGAAUAUGUGCACAAAGGGUGAAUAAUGAUCUACAAACAAAAACAAGAAAUGAAAUUGAAUAUCUAUUUUAGAGAAAGAGGAGGCAGAAAUCUCAAGCACAAAGACAGACAUUACUUCACAGCAGCUAACAUGUCUAACAUGAUAUACGAAAGAGAGCAAAAUUCCCUAAAUUCAAGAGAAAUGCACUUUACCUAAUGUACAUUAGUUAGAUUUUAGAAUGUCCAAACUUAACUAUUUAUUCAAUUCAAGUACUAGUCAAUGUCUAUAAAUCCAAAUUUCCGGAGAAAAAUUUACAUGUGUUUGGAUGCUCCCAAACUCUAACAUAUACACUUCCUAAAUACUUUCGACAUUCCCUACCAUGAAAUUUUCCGAUGACGAGUUAAAAGUGGUGCAAACAUUGCAAUUGACCGAAAAAUUAAAGCAAACACAAAACGAAAUGUGAAACAGAAAACAUACAGUCUUCGUAGAAAUGUACUCGAGGAGGAGGGAUGGCUCGAGGCUGGAGCAGCAGGAGGAGGAGGGAGGGCUCGAGGAGGAGGACAGUGAAGAGGAGGAGGGAUCAGGGCGGGAGCAGGAGGAGGAGGAGGGAGGGCUCGAGGAGGCGGAGGAGGCUAGGGUUUUUUCUCGCGCUGUGGAGGCUGUCGAGCGCCUGGUCUUCGUCUGUAUACCGUAGCCAGCGCAUAUUCCAGAAAACUCAUAACUCCUUUACCAUAUCUUUUGUCCCAUUUUGGAAGCAAAAUCUAACUCUUAUCCAUAUUCUGAAAAGAUAACAAAAUAUAUAUGUAUAACUAUAGCUAAUUAUUAAUUAAAUUCCAUAUAUAAAAUCGAAAUUCAUUUAGUAUUCUACGUACUACAACUAAUUAAUAACAAAUUAAUUAACACAUAUAUAUACUUAAUAAUUACAUAACAAUAUUAUAUAUCAACAUCAUCACAAAAUCAUCAUCAACUCAUAUCAUCAACAACUUUAUACCAUCAACACAAUAUUAUAAAUUAAUUAACAUAUAUAUAUAUAUAUAUAUAUAUAUAUCUACUACUUAUUAACAACAAC